AACCCAGACUCCUACGGGAGGCAGCAGUGGGGAAUAUUGCACAAUGGGGGGAACCCUGAUGCAGCGACGCCGCGUGGGUGAAGGAGCACCUCGGUGCGUAAAGCCCUAUCGGCAGGGAAGAAACAGACGGUACCUGACUAAGAAGCCCCGGCUAACUACGUGCCAGCAGCCGCGGUAAUACGUAGGGGGCAAGCGUUAUCCGGAUUUACUGGGUGUAAAGGGCGUGUAGCCGGGCUGACAAGUCAGAUGUGAAAUCCGGGGGCUCAACCCCCGAACUGCAUUUGAAACUGUUGGUCUUGAGUAUCGGAGAGGCAGGCGGAAUUCCUAGUGUAGCGGUGAAAUGCGUAUAUAUUAGGAGGAACACCAGUGGCGAAGGCGGUCUGCUGGACAGCAACUGACGCUGAGGCGCGAAAGCGUGGGGAGCAAACAGGAUUAGAUACCCCAGUA
This 447-nucleotide ribosomal RNA is filed under the name uncultured bacterium. RNAcentral describes it as "partial 16S ribosomal RNA". It matches the Rfam family "Bacterial small subunit ribosomal RNA", at positions 328 to 792 of the family's 1533-position model. The record is from RNAcentral.